RNAcentral lists this unclassified non-coding RNA (132 nucleotides) under uncultured fungus. RNAcentral describes it as "sequence contains ITS1". Lineage: Eukaryota; Fungi. The record is from RNAcentral.
AUCUUUUUAAUUACUUUAAAAAGUAAAAAUAUAUAAAUAAUUUUUUUUUUUCAAAAGGUGUGGGUUUUAAAUACGUGCGCGAUUCGCGCCGAAAAUUUGAUAAUGAUCCUUCCGCAGGUUCACCUACGGAAA